GUCCAAAGAAAAUCUUCGAAACUCGGCCCCAAACUACAAUAAGAAAGAGAAGACGAUGAAGAAAACUUCCAGUUGUGACUUUCAACAUGUCCAUUUCUGUGAAAAUGGAGGUGAGUCUAACCAUGUUGGGACAGCUCUGAACCAGCCCUUGAUGACGCAAGGAAAGCCACUACCUGAUGGAGAAGAGCUGUUUUACUCAACCACCAUUUCAAGAGAAGCUGUGAAACAUAGUGUGGAAGGGAUGUGUGACUGACUGUGUGGAGAGCUGGAGCAUAUGGGGCCACUACUGCCAAAAACCAAAGCCAGAAAGAUAAAGAAAUCUUGAGUACCAGGAUAAAACACUUCGAUGAAAUUCUUAACAUCCUACUGUCCCUUAGAGCCUGCCAAGUGGCCUGCUUAGUCCCAGUCCUGAAGCAUGAUAUACUAGUGUACCCACUGACCCAUUUUCAGAGAAUACAUGCCAAAUACUUCAAGAUGAAUAUUCCUAGGAAAAAAAGGUCAUUGUUCAUUCAAAACAUUUGGAAAUAAGAACAGCACCAUAGCCUGGAGUGGCUUAAAAAUCUAUGCUCUGACCCACAAAUACUAUCAGAUAUUAUUUAUGCAGACUUUCUUUGGAUCUAGCAAGGCAGAGCCCCAAAUAAGUAGAUUUAUUAGGAAAGAAGUGACAAGAGCAGAAUUGGUCCCCAAGUGUGGGAUAUAAGAGGUUUGUUUCUUUCAAGAUAGGAGAAAAUUGGCAAUACUUGAGCCUGGUAACAUACAACAAGAGUGGUCUGAUUAUUUUAACACCUGGUACUAGAAGUACGACCCACUGUUAGUGAACAGUCAGUGGUGGGCAUUCUGGAAUGAUGUAGAGCAGCUAUCAGACUUUCCAUUCACUGUUUAUAGGAACAAAAUAAAAAGAAAUCCACAAAAAGCCAUGAACUCCUUAAAUGCAGCUCUAGACAGGACACCAAAGGCAACAGCAUCCAAAAGGACCUGGGUUCAAAUUCUGGUUAUGACACUGCUGUGUAAAUAUGAGGCAAAUCAGUUAACUACCUAGGAAGUGGGAGGGUGAGGAGAUCCAUUGAAAAUGGAAAAAAUACUGCUUGAACAACCUAUUGCACAGAGCCAAGUUUUAUAUACUGUGAAGUAUUAUAUAAAUGUGUAUUAUUGUUGUCAUGACUGUAUUUGGGUUUUCAGAUAACAAAAAACACAACUGAAAUUAACUAACAGGCCAAGCAAGUACAACCAAUGGGCAUUAGGAGUCUACUAUGUGCAAGUGACUGUGAAAUGCCAUAAACAAGCAACAACAAGUAUAGAAAAAUCAGAGUUAAAAUUAGUUUUUUCAGUGAUUAUACUCAUACAUGUACAUGUUCUUCCCCCAUUAGAAUGCAAACUACUUGUGAGCUGGGAUUGUUUCAUUCAUUGUAUUUAUAUCUCUAGCACGCAGCACAGGCUCUGGCAUGUAAUAAUUAAUAAUUGCUAAUAAGAACUAAUAAAGAUUAAAAGGCA
Phascolarctos cinereus (koala) is the source of this 1491-nucleotide non-coding RNA. Lineage: Eukaryota; Metazoa; Chordata; Mammalia; Diprotodontia; Phascolarctidae. The record is from RefSeq and is a predicted model, not a curated record.